RNAcentral lists this long non-coding RNA (556 nucleotides) under Homo sapiens (human). RNAcentral describes it as "HSALNT0327513". The record is from RNAcentral. Lineage: Eukaryota; Metazoa; Chordata; Mammalia; Primates; Hominidae.
AUCAUGGGAGUGGGUUUGGCCCCUCUUGCACUCUCUCUCUCUCUCUACCCCCCUUGCUUCUGUCAUGUGAUGUCUUCCACCAUGUUAUAGCACAGCAAGAAGGCCCAUGCCAGAUACUGGCACCUUGAUAUUGGAUUUCCCAGCCUCCACAACUAACCAGGAUGAUGACUAAUUUCCCGCAAUAAACAAAUAAACUCAAAAUCUGAAUAUGGCCUUUAGACCUUGGAUGAGCUGAUUUUCCUCAGAGGAUCCAGAUUUUGUGAAGCUGUCCCAUUCAAAGCCACCCCCAGAGGCCCGGAGGAGACCACAAAGCUGCGAACACAGCCGGGACCUGCCCACUGACACACUGAAGAGUCAACACGAUUCAGGAAAGCACUUUCAAAGAGUGUUUUAUCUUGGACAGAUAAUAUUCCGUUUUGUUUCUGAGAGGCAAUGACAAUCUCUAGUUCGAUUGUAAAACUAUUUCCUUCAAAUAUACAUUUUUAUCUAUGGAGAGUGGUGUUAUUUGGGGUUUUACAAACCUAAGAAGUUUACAUUUGGCAACAGUGAUUGUUCC